Mastomys coucha (southern multimammate mouse) is the source of this 2651-nucleotide long non-coding RNA. RefSeq lists it as uncharacterized. NCBI's taxonomy places the organism in Eukaryota, Metazoa, Chordata, Mammalia, Rodentia, Muridae. The record is from RefSeq and is a predicted model, not a curated record. The transcript has 2 exons.
CGUGCGAGCACCGUGCCAGCACCGUGCGAGUGGACUUGCGCAGUACCGGUCUCUGCGGCAGUUCCAGCACUCAUGCGCAGUACCCGUCUCUGCAGCAGCACUCACCUGGCCCUGCCCGUCAGGCAGGAAGAGUGUAUUGCAGACGUCUAUGGCCAUCACAUACCUCAUAGGCUGCUUGUGAAAUCGUUCUCACGUCAUUCCAGACUGCACUGACUUGAGCGUCCACAGGUUUUCCCAAAUCAGACAGCACUUUCACUGUGGCAGAGUUCACACGGAUGGACACCACUGAGUGUCGUUCUUGUUCGAAGGGAUUGUAGAUCACGAGGUACCUGCAAAGCCAGCUGUGUCAAUGCGGCAAUCUCAGAGCACGACUGUUUCUCUAACUCUUCCUAAGGCUUCAGUUCCCAGCCAUGGACAAUACACUGGGAAGCCGAGCAUGGUGGCACCACCUUCAAUCACAGUGCUUAGGGGGCAGAGGCAGGUGGCUUUCUGAGUUUGAGACCAGCCUGGUCUACAGAGGGAGUUAGUUCCAGGACAGUCGGGGCCACAGUGAGAAACUGUCUUAAAAAAAAAAAAUUCAACCAACCAAGCAACAGCAAUAAACAAACAAACAAACAAAUAAAUAAUUCCCUGGAAGAAUGAAAAGGGCCAUCCUGAGAGAACCCCUCAAAGAAACGGAGACCACACCACACAUGCAGCAAGAGAAGCAUGUUGUAAGACUACAAGUCUAUCGAUCCUCCACUUUAUAUGCAUAUUAAAUAUGUUCCAUGUGUUACAAAGGACAUCUAAGUGUUGUGUCAGUCAUCUAAAGAGCCAGGACUCACAGCCUCUCCCUGGUGCCUUGUGUUGACUUAAAAAACGAAACAACAACAAAAAAACCCAACGUAAUUUGUCUCUGCAAUUUAGGCAUAUUAACUUCCAAUAAAAAUAUUACGUUCAUUUGAGAUCGGCGAAACUAGUAAGUUGUAUAUUAUAUAUGCAAAUCUCACAGUACAUACACACAUUUUAUACAGACAGGGCCCUCGCUGCUACGCUCAAGAAACACAGUUCUAGGAUUAAAAGCAAACCCACUCAAAGAAAUCUACUUAUAAGAAAUGUACUCAUAAGAAAUCUACUUAUAAGAAGGGCCAAAUUUUUAUGAUAAGUCUAUGGAGAAGAAAAGUUUUGGUGGGGAUUCAGCCAAAUAGAAGAAGAUUAAAACUAUAAAGGGAGCUCCUGUCAGUAUGUGCAAGAACGUACAAUUCUUAGUAUAAACAAAACUUCAGCUGCAAUCCUGUCAGAGUCUUUGUCAACCGGCCCAAGCACCUUGGAGCACACCACGCUUCGGUUUUCCAGGGUGGCUUCGGACAGAACUGUUGGUCAAGGUGUCCGAGGCCUUUCCCCUCCUCCUGUGGCUCUUCUCUCAGUGUCGAUCCUCUGGGAAGCACUCACGGCCUUCCCUCCCUAUCUCCUCCCAGGGCUGCUCUGCCAGCCUGACAGGACCUCGGCAAAUGUGCAUGACGCAGGAUCCUGCACUCUGGAUCAUUUACACCGUAUUAUCUCCCAAUAAAGCAGCAUUUCCAAAAGGACUGAGCUCCCUGCUGGCCACUGACUCACCAGUGCAUGGUUUAUGAUCUGAAAUGUUUUCUUUUCCUAGGAAAGGUGUUAGUUUCACCCUCUCAAGAAACAUCAACAUAUUAGUCAGCUAGUGACCAUCUCCCCACUAACAUGAGCUCCAGAGUGGUUCAGGCUGGCUUCUAUUUGCUCAGCUACAUCUGAAAGUCGUCAUAGAAGCGUUUCCUACACACCUUCAUUCUCAUACACAUUACAAGCCAGUCAUUAAGAAAUGAAGUCCCUAACAGAGGAUGCAGAGCCUAACAAAGGAUGCAGAAAGAAAAAAUGAAAUAAAGAUGAUAAAACACAAAACCUAUACACCAUUUCAUGUAUAAAUUGCUUGGCAGAAGACACAUUUAUGUUUUUAAAAUACGGCAGGUGAUACAGUCAAUUGUAAGAAUGGCCCUAGCCCUGCAGGAUGACAGGUCUAUGCACCAGGACACAAGGACCUCACUUGCGGCCACAUGUUCACUGGCUCAUUGGUAUUCCAUGCACAUGGACACGAACGGAUGAAAGAAGGCACCAGCCACAAACACACUUACACAGAACCCUAAACAUGCCAGCACUCACUCAAGCCCCAUCUUGGCCUCUGAAGCGCUUUUCAAGGUCUGUCAGUGCCACUCCCAGAGAGAGGUGUGCAGCAUACCUAUCAGACAGACUUUACAACAGAGUUUCACCCUCUCAAGGCCCACUUGAGGUUUUGUUUCAUCCUGGUUCUCCUCUGAUCAUAAACGCAGGAGGGCAAUCACAGUGCCAGGAUUCUGUGCCACCAGAGUCUAAGGGCCCUGAGAGAGACCAGCUGACGGUCACGUACUCCAGAUCACCCUACGUGAACAAUUUACUAACAUCUACAGUUUCAGAGGCACCCAAAGCUAGAAUGAGAGGACGUGUAUGGGCCUGGGGCAGACCCGGUAACUGGGAGUGCACAGAGCUAAGACCCAAGCACACUCCUUUCUAUAGAAAACUUGAAAAAUGACUCACACUUAAUUACAGCUUUAAGCAUAUACUUGGUUUUGUACCCUAUGAAACCGUGUUGUACAGUAAAGCUGAGAACUAAA